CUGUGGUGCAUCGAACUGUCAACGCACCAUCUACUUCAAUCAGUCCCCAAGUGAAGCUCUUUCCUUGUGGGUUCGUGCGGUAUCCUGUGUUGCUUACCAAUGAAAUGGAAUUUCAAUGUUCUCGCCGGUUUGUAUCCGCCUUGUGCCCUUCGGGGUGCGGGGUGGACAUGAGGCAAGCACUGUGAUCCCAACAUGCCUGGUGCAUCGGUGCUUUGGUUGUUGUGGCCCAUGGUGUCUCUGCUUGUUCUCUCGGAUACGGAAAGCUAUGUGUGGGCGUGAGGUCUCGGCCUUGAUACGUCCAAGCACUGUCCCUUGACUCGAAUGACUGCUGUGCUCGUUUUGAUCCUCCCGACCAAGGCCUCGUAGCGGGGCUUACUGGACGAGGGGGGAUCAUGCGGGUGUCGGCGUCAAAGAGGAAAGC
Molecule: unclassified non-coding RNA, 421 nt
Filed under: Cyanothamnus occidentalis
Lineage: Eukaryota; Viridiplantae; Streptophyta; Magnoliopsida; Sapindales; Rutaceae
Description: Boronia occidentalis partial external transcribed spacer
Source: RNAcentral